CUCCCUCCCCCUCCCUCCGGGCUCCUGAACUCCAGCCCCUCUCUCUCUAUCAGCCGCUCACUCUGUCUCAAUAUGUCUCAAGAUGGCGGCCAAUGUGGGAUCGAUGUUUCAAUAUUGGAAGCGCUUUGAUUUACAGCAGCUGCAGAGAGAGCUCGAUACCACAGCAACAAUAUUGGCGAACCGGCAAGAUGAAAGUGAGCAGUCCAGGAAAAAACUUAUUGAGCAAAGUCGUGAGUUCAAGAAAAACACUCCAGAGGACCUGCGCAAACAGGUAGCUCCAUUACUGAAGAGUUUCCAGGGAGAGAUUGAUGCAUUGGGUAAACGAAGCAAAGAAGCAGAGGCAGCCUUCUUGAAUGUUUAUAAGAGAUUAAUUGAUGUUCCAGAUCCGGUUCCAGCCUUGGAUUUAGGACAGCAGCUUCAGCUGAAGGUUCAACGCAUGCACGAUAUUGAAACAGAAAACCAGAAACUUAGGGAAACUCUGGAGGAAUACAAUAAAGAAUUCGCCGAGGUGAAAAAUCAGGAGGUUACAAUAAAAGCACUUAAGGAGAAAAUCCGAGAAUAUGAACAGACCCUGAAGAACCAAGCGGAGAACAUAGCCCUUGAAAAGGAACAAAAGUUACAAAAUGAUUUUGCGGAGAAGGAGAGAAAAUUGCAGGAGACCCAGAUGUCAACAGCCUCGAAGCUGGAGGAAGCCGAGCACAAAGUUCAAGCUUUGCAAACAGCCUUGGAAAAAACCAGGACAGAACUAUUUGAUCUGAAAACAAAAUACGAUGAAGAAACUACUGCAAAGGCUGAUGAAAUCGAGAUGAUCAUGACAGACCUUGAAAGAGCGAAUCAGAGGGCAGAGGUGGCUCAGAGAGAGGCAGAGACCUUAAGGGAGCAGCUCUCAUCAGCUAACAAAUCUCUCCAACUUGCUACGCAGAUCCAGAAGGCACCUGAUGUGGAGCAGGCCAUCGAGGUGCUGACACGCUCCAGCCUGGAAGUGGAGCUGGCUGCGAAGGAGCGCGAGAUCGCCCAGCUGGUUGAAGAUGUCCAGAGACUCCAGGGCAGCCUCACCAAGCUGAGGGAGAACUCCAGCAGCCAAAUCUCCCAGCUGGAGCAGCAGCUGACAGCCAAGAACAGCACACUCAAACAACUGGAAGAAAAACUGAAAGGACAGGCUGAUUAUGAAGAGGUUAAGAAAGAAUUAAAUAUAUUGAAAUCCAUGGAGUUUGCACCAUCUGAAAGCUCUGGUGCGCAGGAUGCAUCCAAGCCGCUGGAGGUGCUGCUGCUGGAGAAGAACCGCUCGCUGCAGUCGGAGAACGCCACGCUGCGCAUCACCAACAGCGACCUGAGCGGGUCAGCCAGGAGAAAAGGGAAAGACCAGCCUGAGAGUCAGCGUCCUGCAACCUUGCCGGCCUCCCCUCCUUCCCAGUUGCUCCGCAACGCGGGGGAGCAGGCUUCCAAUACUAAUGGUACACACCAGUUCUCACCAACGGGUUUAAGUCAAGACUUUUUCAGCUCAUCCCUGGCGAGCCCCAGCUUACCCCUGGCCUCCACAGGAAAAUUUGCACUAAACUCUCUCCUCCAGCGACAGCUAAUGCAGUCCUUCUACUCCAAGGCAAUGCAGGAAGCAGGAAGCACAAGCAUGAUUUUUCCAACAGGUCCAUACAGCACAAACUCCAUAUCUUCCCAAAGUCCAUUACAACAAAGCCCGGAUGUAAAUGGCAUGGCCCCAUCUCCCAGCCAGUCAGAAAGUGCUGGGAGCAUCUCUGAAGGAGAGGAGAUAGACACGGCCGAAAUUGCACGUCAGGUGAAAGAGCAGUUGAUCAAGCACAAUAUUGGACAGCGGAUAUUUGGACAUUAUGUGUUGGGACUGUCGCAAGGGUCUGUGAGUGAGAUCCUGGCCCGGCCAAAGCCAUGGAAUAAACUGACUGUGAGAGGCAAGGAGCCAUUUCAUAAGAUGAAGCAGUUCCUGUCGGACGAGCAGAACAUCCUGGCUCUUCGCAGCAUCCAGGGCAGACAAAGAGAGAAUCCAGGCCAGAACCUGAACAGACUAUUUCAGGAAGUACCGAAACGAAGAAAUGGGUCUGAAGGUAACAUAACCACACGAAUCCGAACCACAGAGUCUGGCUCUGAUGAAGCCAUCAAAUCCAUUCUCGAACAAGCCAAAAGGGAGCUGCAAGUACAGAAAACAGCUGAGCCGGCUCAGCCGCCUUCUGCCUCUAGCAGUGGCAAUUCUGAUGAUGCAAUUCGAUCCAUUCUGCAACAAGCCCGACGGGAAAUGGAGGCACAGCAGGCUGCCCUUGAACCUGCCUUAAAAACACCACCUCUAUCUCAAGCUGACAUUUCUAUCCUGUCCCCCAAACUAGUGUCUACACCUGCAAUGUCUUCGGUUUCCAGCUAUUCUCCUUUGGCCAUAUCCCUGAAGAAACAUUCAUCUGUCACUGAUUCCAGUAUCUCUGCAUUGCAGAACCUCUCUGGGCUCAAAAAGGAGCCUCAGGAGGCACCUGUUUUAGAGCUUCAUGGAAUAAGUGAUUCUGCCCAGGGUAUGUUGAGGCAUGUUAAAAAUGAGUUGGGACGUGGUGGUGUUUGGAAGGACCAUUGGUGGAAUACUGUGCAGCAUGAGAGAAGAAAUGCAGCUCUUCCCGAAGAUAUAAAAGUUGAGGAAGCCAGUGGUGGAAAAGAAAAGGUCAGCAAUCAGACUAGGCCAGAUCGUAGCCAGCUCCAAGGACCGUCUUCUUCCGAGUAUUGGAAAGAGUGGCCAAACGCGGAAUCUCCGUACUCGCAGAGUUCUGAAUUGAGCAUGACUGGGGCGAGUCGCAGUGAGACACCACAAAAUAGCCCCCUCCCUUCAUCCCCUAUCGUGUCCUUGUCCAAGCCAUCCAAACCUUCGGUUCCUCCACUGACACCCGAGCAGUAUGAGAUUUAUAUGUACCAGGAGGUGGAUACGAUAGAGCUAACGCGGCAGGUCAAGGAAAAGCUAGCAAAGAAUGGCAUCUGCCAAAGGAUCUUUGGGGAAAAGGUAUUGGGGCUGUCCCAAGGAAGUGUCAGUGACAUGCUCUCCAGGCCAAAGCCAUGGAGCAAAUUGACCCAAAAAGGCCGAGAACCAUUUAUUCGUAUGCAGCUCUGGUUGAAUGGUGAGCUGGGACAGUGUGUCCUGCCCGCACAAGGGCAGCAACAAGGACAAGUCCUUCACUCUGUGACAUCAUUACAGGAUUCCCUACAGCAGGGAUGUGCAAGCUCAGAAAGUACUCCAAAGACUUCUGCGAGUUGCAGUCCUGCUCCUGAAUCUCCCAUGAGUUCCAGUGAAUCAGUGAAAAGCCUGACUGAGUUGGUACAGCAGCCCUGUCCCCCCAUCGAGACGAGUAAGGAUGGCAAAUCCCAGGAAUCCAGUGAGCCACCUGCAUCUGAAUCCCAAUCCACGACCCCUCUGCCACUCUCUGGCCACUCAGCACUCAGCAUCCAAGAACUGGUGGCCAUGUCCCCUGAGCUGGACACCUAUGGCAUCACCAAGAGGGUCAAGGAAGUGCUCACGGACAACAAUCUUGGUCAGCGUUUGUUCGGGGAGACAAUCCUAGGGCUGACACAAGGCUCUGUCUCUGACCUGCUGGCUCGCCCCAAGCCCUGGCACAAGCUGAGUCUGAAGGGAAGGGAACCCUUUGUCCGCAUGCAGCUGUGGCUCAACGAUCCCAACAACGUGGAGAAGCUGAUGGACAUGAAGCGCAUGGAGAAAAAAGCCUACAUGAAACGGCGGCACAGCUCCGUCAGCGACAGCCAGUCCUGUGAGUCCUCGUCCGCUGGCAUCGACUACAGCCAGGGUGCCAGCCCCCAGCCCCAGCACCAGCUCAAGAAGCCCCGGGUGGUGCUGGCACCAGAGGAGAAAGAAGCUCUCAAAAGAGCCUACCAGCAAAAGCCAUACCCAUCACCAAAAACCAUUGAGGAACUCGCCACGCAGCUCAACUUGAAAACCAGCACCGUGAUCAACUGGUUCCACAAUUACAGGUCCCGCAUCCGCCGGGAGCUGUUCAUCGAGGAGAUCCAAGCCGGGAGCCAGAGCCAGGCCGGGUCGAGUGACUCCCCUUCAGCCAGAAGCAGCAGGGCGGCCCACAGCUCCGAGGGGGACAGCUGCGACGGCGUGGACGCGGAGGGCCCUCCCGACGGCAAGCCGAGCGGCCCGGAGGCGGACGAGUUCAGCAAUGCGGCCGCCAAGUCUCAGGGAGGGCCCGCCGAGCCGGCUUUCGAGGCGGGGGAAGAGGCACUGCGAGGCGCCAGGCCUUCGGAGAGAGCGGAGCCUGAGAGCCUGGAGGACACCGACGACGAGGGCCGGCUCAGAGCGCCGCGCCAGAGCUCCCCGCCGGCACCGCAGCGCCCGGGAGACGCUCUGGAGACACUGCCAAACUCUGCCACGGAAGGGGAUGCCUCUACCUCAGCUGCCUCCACCUCAGUCCUUACGGGGGAGAGCUCCUACAAGUCAAAAGAAAGUUCAGAGAAAAUCUCCAGUGUGCCAAGUACAAGCUCAACGCCGGCCUCAGGCUCACAGAAAGCCAACUCUCUGCAGAGCUUGUUCGGCUUCUCGGAGGCGGCGAGCUCCAGGAACACGCGAGACAGCUCCCUGAGGAAAAAGAAAGCGGCCAACUUGAACAACAUCAUCCACCGCUUGGAGAAGGCCGCGAGUCGGGAAGAGGCCGUGGAGUGGGAGUUUUGAGAUUAAACUGGCCCAACUCGGGAGAGCUGGGAAGUCAAACUGGACCUCUACUGGUUUUAUUGUGUUCGCACUUAACCGCCCUGCGGGCCACAGGGCAAAAACGCCAUAGGCCAAGCUGUUUCAGGAUUCCUCCUUGGGUGACUGGGGACUCGUGAUGCCAAACUGAAGCUGAGGAACGGAGAGAGAGCAGCUGCCCCUUUGUGUGAUGAGCUGAGGGCUGAGUGGCAGUGACAGACACCAGGGUGUCCUGGCUUCCCACCGGGAGCGUGGCCAGUCCGUGGGAAUGGGGUGAAGCCAAGGGUGACCUCUCUGUACCUGUCCAGUGUCCUGGUCUGACUUCCAAAGCACAGCUCCAUGGAUAAACACGUCCUGGUAGGAGUUCACAUACCUUAGUACAAGUCACAACGAGCUGCGUCUCCAGCCAAGAGCAAAACUUCUGCCCAGGAGACGCAGAUAUUUUCUUAGGUUCUUUAAUUAUUUUUAUUUUUUUCUUCGUUGUUGUUUGGUUCAGGUUGGGUUUUUUAAUUAAUUCUGGCAAUACACUUGCCAGUCUGUUCCUACUGUCCUUGUCUGCUGAUUUGAGACCCAGGUGCUGGAUGCAGUCAAGUGGUUACUCUCAGCUUUCUCCAUAGUGAGGGGUUUUUUUCUGUUUGAUGAUUCUUUUUAAUUUUUUUAUUUUUUAAGUUAAUAUUCCCCAAACUGUUGUUGUGCCUGUGUCUAUCUGAUUGCAUUCCAUGAUGCUUACUGAGAGCUCUGGCUGCAUUGUACGACAGCAGAACUGUAUUCACAGGUUGCACGCAAAUGCAGCACUUAAGGUCAAUCUCUCUUCUUAAUAAGCAAUACGUAAGUGCCUUGAAACAUAUCUUCUUUUUUUUCCCCUGUUUAUUUUUGGUUUGCUUUUCACUAGUUCCCACUAGUUCUUUAGGAUUCUUUAGCAUCUGCCCAGUUUUUAAUGCUGUAAUGAUUUUUAAAAAGCAUAUCUGUAGCUUGCCCUAGAGGAAAUCUUUCUUUCAUAACACUAACCGUUAAUUCUAAGCUCCAUUAUUCCAUUUGAGUCAUGUAAUUUUGCUGGAUAAAGACAGCGUUCAGAAGUCAGAAGUCACUCCAUCCUGCCAAGCGUUGUCAUUGGGAUCUAUUAUAAAAUUAAUCAAAUAAAAUGCUGUCAGUAUUUCCUAUAUUUUUGGCACUUUAUUAACGGCUUAGCUCCUUUUGCUGUUUCAUAUUUAAUGAUCUGUGUUGAAUGUGGAUUAGCCUGCUGAGAUGCUGUUGGGGUGAUCUCCUGCCCGGAGUCCCUUUGGGUUCCUUGCUCACCCCCUGGUUGGAGGGCAGGGGCCGAGGAGCACCCUCAGACCUGGAGCUCAGAGAUGCUCCCGGGGUUUGUCCUGGGCUUUAGCCGACGUCACAGCUGCUUUUCUGUUCAGUGGAAAGUCAGAUGGAUUAGUUUUUAAUUGAACUACUGCUGAGGUUCUCGGGUUGGACAUGAGUUACCUGCUGGUGUUUCUGGCCAAGGCCCCCCCAGUUUAGAGGCUGAACUUACACUGCAGGGUGUGAGUGAUAGUUGGGAUUAAUUUGGAACUCACCCUUGGGAGGAAAAUGUGCUUUGGAAUAACUUUUUUUUUUUUUUUUUAUUUAAUUCAAAGGAUAAAAAGUUAAAGGAGAAGAAAUGCCAAAGAGCAGCACAGUGGCUGUCAUCCCUUGGGUGCUGAAUGUGUGAAAUGUGUGACAUGGGGCUUAUCUCCCAGGGCAGCAGAGCCCUCCUUGCUGUCGUUUCUUUUCCUGAUGGAUAAAAGCACAGGCAGUUUUCAGGAAAUCCAUCAUGCCAGAGUCUGUUUUUCCUGAGGUUCUUUAAAAGCAUUUUAUUUUCUCUCUCUGUUUCCAGUUCCAUGCUCUUACCAACACUGUGCAUGAAGGGCUGGGGCUGUUUUAAUAGAAAUAUGUUUAUAUUGCAGUUAAAUUGUUGAUUUUUCUCUCUGGAUGAUUAGGGAAGGACAAAAGUGCAGUGCUUUGUUUGCUAAAAGCCAGGAAAGAGUAUCCCGUGGCAGAAGGGUCAUGCAGUGGGAUUGUCAAUACACUUCCAUUUUUCAGGAUACAGAUUUCAGACAACAGCAUUGCAGAUGUUUAUUGGCAGAAAUGCAUUUAAUUACAGGUGCUUUUGAUGCCAUAAAUUAUUUAUUCAUUGGUGAAAUGCCUAUAAAUAUAGCCACCCUUUAAAGGAACCCAUAUCAGUGCACUCUGCCCAUAUCAUGAAUUAGUCCUUUAGUAAUAAACUCCUUGCUGUAGUAGGAAAGAACAAUAUUACAGCUAAAAAGAAAAAAGUAUGUGCCUUUCUCAUUAGCUAAAAGAUCUCUGCAUUAUUUUUAUGUAACUUGUUGAUAUGGGAUUGGUAUAGAGCAAGGGGAUCAUGAACAUCCCAGAAUUCUAUGCAAUAUUUUCCAGUCCAGUUACUUAAAAGUCACUAUUUUUCAAUCCUUUAAUAGGAGAAAUAGUAAGUGCAUCAUUCUGGUGGUAAUUCAAACUGCAAAGCUGAUAAAUUGACAUAAGAUAGGAUUGGGGGAAAUGUGAGAAAUUAAUGUGAUGAAAUAGUGGAAAAUGCCAACAGUGGCUGCAGUCCCUACAAGCACAGCUGCCGUCAGAAGUCUGUCAUCUCCCAUUUUAAAAUUAAUAAUUUCCAGUAUUCUUAAAGCUUUUAUGAAUCAGAAUGCUCCUGGCAAAAACAGGGCAGGUUAGAAACAGGGAAAAAAAAAAAUCACAUUUUGACCAUAUAGAAAUUAUGAGAAUACACAGAAAAAAAAGUAAUUUGGCAUGGACACAUUGCACUUGGAUCCAAAAUGUUUUAUUUCAGUUGAAAUCCUGCAGUAACCUGUGCCUUUAGCAGGGUUGUGAGAGAUCAGUGGCUUGGCAGUUUGUUGUAGACUGAAAGUGGAGGGGUGACAUUUUUAACCUGCACAUGGAGGGCACUAUUUUUAUUUCAUUUGUGUCUCUUCCUACAAAGGAGUUUCUGAAAUUCUCUCUGAUUUCCUCUUUGCCCAGUGGAUGUUCUCUGUCUUCAGCCACCGAGUGUGGCCAAGCUCCUUUUGGAGAUUCAGAAACAAGAGGAGAAGAAGGAAAGUUGGUUCUUAGGUGGAGAGUGGAUUUAACAUUCCCUAAAACCAAGUCGAGGCUUUCCCAUGAGUGUGUGGCAGUUUUGGCUGUGGUGUGACCAGCUGUAGCCUCUUAUCCCGAAAUUUAACUCAAAUGGAUAAAACACUGGCAAAGCAGGACUGGGUUGAUUCCUGUGUUGUUCUGCCUUCCCCUUUCUGCUCUGUGAACAUCAACAUUUUCUUUGUGUUGCAUAUACAAUCAACUUUUCUGAGAAAUUAAAAAUUCUAUACAAAGGAAAGACCUUUCCCCCUGGCCCCAUCAGUUUAAAAUCUGAUUUUACAUUACAAGGAGAAUCACUGGCAGGGGAAGUGCAAGAUCUGAAUUUCUUCUCUGAUAUAACCUUUGUAGUUCAAAAGGGGUGUAUCAGUCCCUGUCUCCUUCACAUAUAUUUGAGCACUAAAAUGUAGAAAUACAAUUU
Molecule: RNA transcript, 8246 nt
Organism: Pseudopodoces humilis (Tibetan ground-tit)
Lineage: Eukaryota; Metazoa; Chordata; Aves; Passeriformes; Paridae
Gene: CUX1
Gene name: cut like homeobox 1
Source: RefSeq, a predicted model, not a curated record